AAGAGAAGAACCUGUCAGCUUAACCAAGGAUGAUUGCCUGCAAACCAAAAACAGGGCUAGCCUUAGUGAAACUUGUCGUGAGGUGCAGGCAAGUCAUCCUUGGCUACCAAACUAGGUUCUUAUCU
Non-coding RNA from Gossypium raimondii (Peruvian cotton), 125 nucleotides. NCBI's taxonomy places the organism in Eukaryota, Viridiplantae, Streptophyta, Magnoliopsida, Malvales, Malvaceae. The record is from Rfam.